CAAUAGCGUAUAUUAAAGUUGUUGCAGUUAAAAAGCUCGUAGUUGGAUUUCUGUGAGAGUGCCGGUGUCGGCUGAUGCUUGUACGCAGGCGCUCUUACAUCCUUCUGUUAACUGUUCUUGGCAUUUUAUUGCUGGUUCAGGGCUCAGAUAUUUUACCUUGAGAAAAUUAGAGUGUUUCAGGCAGGCUUAUGCCGGAAUACAUUAGCAUGGAAUAAUGGAACAGGACCUGUGCGUCUCUCGGGGCGCCGGUCUCCGUUGUUGGUUUCGGGGACUAAUGUAAUGAUUAAUAGGGAUAGUUGGGGGCAUUAGUAUUUAAUAGUCAGAGGUGAAAUUCUCGGAUUUGUUAAAGACUAACUUAUGCGAAAGCGUCUGCCAAGGAUGUUUUCAUUGA
RNAcentral lists this ribosomal RNA (391 nucleotides) under uncultured eukaryote. RNAcentral's name for it is "partial 18S ribosomal RNA". It matches the Rfam family "Eukaryotic small subunit ribosomal RNA", at positions 592 to 976 of the family's 1831-position model. The record is from RNAcentral.